This is a long non-coding RNA of Suricata suricatta (meerkat), 1456 nucleotides long. RefSeq lists it as uncharacterized. The record is from RefSeq and is a predicted model, not a curated record. The transcript has 2 exons. NCBI's taxonomy places the organism in Eukaryota, Metazoa, Chordata, Mammalia, Carnivora, Herpestidae.
AGGAAGGAAGGGUUAAAGUGGGAUGGGCUCCAGUUCCGGCUCUCGGUCGCACAGCCAGGGGACCGCCACACAUCCCCAGAGCCGUGCUCUCCCAGGGCGCCCCUGGGGAGCGGAAGCAGCGCGUCGUCCCAACCCCCGGGGGAGGGCGCUCUUCCUCGGAGCCUGGAGCGCCGGGGCGGAGAGCUAGAAGCAGGGCUCUGGCUCUGAACCCCUGGAGACCCGCGCUCGCCUGCCAGCCCCGCCCGCCUAAAGCCGCCCUCAGAGGCCGACAGCGCAGCAGGCCCUGCGCAGGGCGACCCGAAGGGGGACGUACCCAUUCGGAUAUGCACACUGGCAGAGGCCACGCAGCUGCCAUAGUUGAAGUCGUCCUCGAUAGAGGAGCAGGGGUACCGGGGGUCGGGGUCCGCCAUGUCGGUAGCAGAAGCCCAGCCACCCCGCCCAGCGAGGCCCAGGACCCGGACUCAACGGCCUACAACCCACUUCCGGGAUGAAGCAAUCCAGCCCCAACUAGCCGAGCCGCCGCGCUCAUCGAUGAGCAGCAGAUCUUAAUCGAUGCGCUCACCUCAGCGCUUCAGUUAGGCUGGGAAAAGGGAGGUUGCUUCAAGCUGGGGUCGGAGAGAAAAUGAAUUUCAUUUUCCGCGAAUUACUUUUCUUAGAGUUUUCUCAACAAGCAUUUUAAAUCCUCUGGCCCGGAGCUGAAAGUUACAGAAGCGAAGUCCCAUCCAUCCAUCCUUUCAAGAAAUACCCGUCUUAUUUACAUAUUCCUUCAAUAGUCUACACGGGAGAUACACUUUUAAUUAUAUUAUUUUUAAGAUUAAUAAUAAUCCCUGAGUGUCUUGAGCACUUUCUCUAAAGGCUUUCGGAAUUAAAUAAUGCUUAAUCCUGGAAGACAAGCACCAACCAGAGAAGCGUGGAGUGAUGCAGGUUUGGAACAAUGAAACAAACCCAGUAGGGAACAAGUGGAACUAUGACCGCCGCGACAGGCCAGAAGAUGUGGGUGAUUAAUCAGCAGGUGUUUUUAGAAUGCGUUCUCUGAAAACCAAUGAUGUGACACCAUUUCUUGACCUUCAGUGCAACAGAUUUGUCAUGGACUGAAUGUGUGUCCCCCUUCCCCAAGGUCUAACUCCCAUUGUAGCUGGAUUUGGAGAAGGGGCUUGUAAGGAAUUAAUUAAGAUUAAAUGAAGUCAUAAGGUAGGGCCCAGAUCAGAUAGGAUCAAUGCCCUUAUAAGAGGAGACACCAGAAUGGUGGCCUGCAUGCUCCCACAUUCUCCCUCCCUCCCUCUGAAUGUGUGUGUGUGUGUGUGUGUGUGUGUGUGUGUGUGUACGCACACACACACAGGAAAAGCCAUCUACCAGCCAGAAGAGAUUCACCAGAAAUCAAACCCUGUGGACACCUUGAUCUUGGGAUUUGUAGUCUCCAGAGCUGUGAAAAGAUAAAUUUCCCUUAUUUAAACCA